CGUGCUUAACACAUGCAAGUCGAACGAGACGAUUUAGAAGCUUGCUUCUUUCAAAUCUAGUGGCAAACGGGUGAGUAACGCGUAGACAACCUGCCGCAAAGAUGGGACAACAGUCCGAAAGGACUGCUAAUACCGAAUGUUGUAUCUCCUCCGCAUGGAAGAGAUAUUAAAGAUGGCCUCUACUUGUAAGCUAUCGCUUUGCGAUGGGUCUGCGUCUGAUUAACUAGUUGGUGAGGUAACGGCCCACCAAGGUGACGAUCAGUAGCCGACCUGAGAGGGUGACCGGCCACAUUGGGACUGAGACACGGCCCAAACUCCUACGGGAGGCAGCAGUGGGGAAUAUUGCACAAUGGGCGAAAGCCUGAUGCAGCGACGCCGCGUGAGCGAAGAAGUAUUUCGGUAUGUAAAGCUCUAUCAGCAGGGAAGAAGAAUGACGGUACCUGACUAAGAAGCCCCGGCUAACUACGUG
Molecule: ribosomal RNA, 469 nt
Filed under: uncultured bacterium
Lineage: Bacteria
Description: bacterial SSU rRNA
Rfam family: Bacterial small subunit ribosomal RNA
Source: RNAcentral